AGUGAACGCUGGCGGUAGGCCUAACACAUGCAAGUCGAACGGCAGCACAGUAAGAGCUUGCUCUUACGGGUGGCGAGUGGCGGACGGUUGAGGAAUACAUCGGAAUCUACUUUUUCGUGGGGGAUAACGUAGGGAAACUUACGCUAAUACCGCAUACGACCUACGUGUGAAAGCAGGGGAUCUUCGGACCUUGCGCGAUUGAAUGAGCCGAUGUCGGCUUAGCUAGUUGGCGGGGUAAAGGCCCACCAAGGCGACGAUCCGUAGCUGGUAUGAGAGGAUGAACAGACACACUGGAACUGAGACACGGUACAGACUCCUACGGGAUGCAGCAGUGGGGAAUAUUGGACAAUGGGCGCAAGCCUGAUCCAGCAAUACCGCGUGGGUGAAGAAGGAGUUCGGGUUGUAAAGCCAUUUUGUUGGGAAAGAAAAGCAGCAGGUUAAUACCCCGCUGUUCUGACGGUACCCAAAGAAUAAGCACCGGCUAACUUCGUG
RNAcentral lists this ribosomal RNA (492 nucleotides) under uncultured bacterium. RNAcentral describes it as "partial 16S ribosomal RNA". It matches the Rfam family "Bacterial small subunit ribosomal RNA", at positions 29 to 507 of the family's 1533-position model. The record is from RNAcentral.